RNAcentral lists this microRNA precursor (84 nucleotides) under Bombyx mori (domestic silkworm). RNAcentral's name for it is "mir-2807 microRNA precursor family". It matches the Rfam family "mir-2807 microRNA precursor family". Lineage: Eukaryota; Metazoa; Arthropoda; Insecta; Lepidoptera; Bombycidae. The record is from Rfam by way of RNAcentral.
UUAACUCAAAUUUGUAUGGAGUUGGAACAGCGCCCCUAGCGGCAAACGUAAGCAAACGUUCCAACUCCAUACAAUUUUGAUUUA